GACAUCCCGGAGACCCUUAGGAACUAGGGGUGCUUCCAUCUGGAAGAAUCUGGAGACAGGUGCUGCAUGGCUGUCGUCAGCUCGUGUCGUGAGAUGUUGGGUUAAGUCCCGCAACGAGCGCAACCCUUGCCUUUAGUUGCCAGCAGUUCGGCUGGGCACUCUAAAGGGACUGCCGGUGUUAAACCGGAGGAAGGUGGGGAUGACGUCAAGUCCUCAUGGCCUUUAUGACCAGGGCUACACACGUACUACAAUGGCCGAUACAAAGGGCAGCGACACUGCGAGGUGAAGCCAAUCCCGUAAAAUCGGUCUCAGUCCGGAUUGGAGUCUGCAACUCGACUCCAUGAAGUUGGAAUCGCUAGUAAUCGUGGAUCAGCAUGCCACGGUGAAUACGUUCCCGGGCCUU
Molecule: ribosomal RNA, 403 nt
Filed under: uncultured Desulfobulbus sp.
Lineage: Bacteria; Pseudomonadati; Thermodesulfobacteriota; Desulfobulbia; Desulfobulbales; Desulfobulbaceae
Description: bacterial SSU rRNA
Rfam family: Bacterial small subunit ribosomal RNA
Source: RNAcentral